AUGGAGCUGAAAUCAGUCGAAGAUACCAGCUGGCUGCAACUGUUUAUUAAAAACACAGCACUGUGCAAACACGAAAGUGGACGUAUACGGUGUGACGCCUGCCCGGUGCCGGAAGGUUAAUUGAUGGGGUUAUCCGUAAGGAGAAGCUCUUGAUCGAAGCCCCGGUAAACGGCGGCCGUAACUAUAACGGUCCUAAGGUAGCGAAAUUCCUUGUCGGGUAAGUUCCGACCUGCACGAAUGGCGUAAUGAUGGCCAGGCUGUCUCCACCCGAGACUCAGUGAAAUUGAACUCGCUGUGAAGAUGCAGUGUACCCGCGGCAAGACGGAAAGACCCCGUGAACCUUUACUAUAGCUUGACACUGAACACUGGUCCUUGAUGUGUAGGAUAGGUGGGAGGCUUUGAAGUGUGGACGCCAGUCUGCAUGGAGCCAUCCUUGAAAUACCACCCUUUAAUGGCUGGUGUUCUAACGUGGACCCGUAAUCCGGGUUGCGGACAGUGUCUGGUGGGUAGUUUGACUGGGGCGGUCUCCUCCUAAAGAGUAACGGAGGAGCACGAAGGUUAGCUAAUCCUGGUCGGACAUCAGGAGGUUAGUGCAAAGGCAUAAGCUAGCUUGACUGCGAGAGUGACGGCUCGAGCAGGUGCGAAAGCAGGUCUUAGUGAUCCGGUGGUUCUGAAUGGAAGGGCCAUCGCUCAACGGAUAAAAGGUACUCCGGGGAUAACAGGCUGAUACCGCCCAAGAGUUCAUAUCGACGGCGGUGUUUGGCACCUCGAUGUCGGCUCAUCACAUCCUGGGGCUGAAGUAGGUCCCAAGGGUAUGGCUGUUCGCCAUUUAAAGUGGUACGCGAGCUGGGUUUAGAACGUCGUGAGACAGUUCGGUCCCUAUCUGCCGUGGGCGCUGGAGAAUUGAGGGGGGCUGCUCCUAGUACGAGAGGACCGGAGUGGACGCAUCACUGGUGUUCGGGUUGUCAUGCCAAUGGCAUUGCCCGGUAGCUAAAUGCGGAAGAGAUAAGUGCUGAAAGCAUCUAAGCACGAAACUUGCCCCG
Molecule: ribosomal RNA, 1043 nt
Filed under: Citrobacter freundii
Lineage: Bacteria; Pseudomonadati; Pseudomonadota; Gammaproteobacteria; Enterobacterales; Enterobacteriaceae
Description: partial 23S ribosomal RNA
Rfam family: Bacterial large subunit ribosomal RNA
Source: RNAcentral